RNAcentral lists this ribosomal RNA (612 nucleotides) under Litochila carbonaria. RNAcentral's name for it is "eukaryotic LSU rRNA". It matches the Rfam family "Eukaryotic large subunit ribosomal RNA", at positions 417 to 780 of the family's 3401-position model. The record is from RNAcentral. Lineage: Eukaryota; Metazoa; Arthropoda; Insecta; Hymenoptera; Ichneumonidae.
AAACCUGAGAAACCCAAAAGAUCGAAUGGGGAGAUUCAUCGUCAGCGAUCUUGGUACGUGUGCGGUUCGCGAUGCCGGAGACUUCGGUUUCAUGGUACGCGUCCGCAUGUUUUUUAUUGCCUCGAUCGUCGGCGUGCACUUCUCCCCUAGUAGGACGUCGCGACCCGUUGGGUGUCGGUCUACGGCCCGGUGGGCAGCCUGUCUCGUGUGCGCCUCGCGGCGUUACGCGGUUCAGACCCCCGGUUGCCCGACCGGCUGCCCGGCGGUACUCGCACGGUAUCUGGCCGCAAAUAUUCGAACUGCGUCCGGCCCGUCGCAAGCGAGGCAAGUGUUUCCCGGCUGUACGGAUCUAAUGCCGUCACCGGGCCUUGCCAGCUGUUGGCUGACGGUGUCCUAGGACAGGCUAACAGAUACCGGUCGGCGACGCUACUGCUUUGGGUACUUUCAGGACCCGUCUUGAAACACGGACCAAGGAGUCUAACAUGUGCGCGAGUCAUUGGGAACUAAUAAGCCUAAAGGCGCAAUGAAAGUGAAGGUCGGCCUUGCGCCGACCGAGGGAGGAUGGGCCGCGUCACGAUGCGGUCCCGCACUCCCGGGGCGUCUCGUUCUCAU